Molecule: ribosomal RNA, 507 nt
Filed under: uncultured Glomus
Lineage: Eukaryota; Fungi; Glomeromycota; Glomeromycetes; Glomerales; Glomeraceae
Description: SSU rRNA
Rfam family: Eukaryotic small subunit ribosomal RNA
Source: RNAcentral
CAAAGUGUUUGGGUUCAUAUCAACUUUCGAUGGUAGGAUAGAGGCCUACCAUGGUGGUAACGGGUAACGGGGUGUUAGGGCACGACACCGGAGAGGGAGCCUGAGAAACGGCUACCACAUCCAAGGAUGGCAGCAGGCGCGCAAAUUACCCAAUCCCGACACGGGGAGGUAGUGACAAUAAAUAACAAUACGGGAUUCUUUUGGAUCUCGUAAUUGGAAUGAGUACAAUUUAAAUCUCUUAACGAGGAACAAUUGGAGGGCAAGUCUGGUGCCAGCAGCCGCGGUAAUUCCAGCUCCAAUAGCGUAUAUUAAAGUUGUUGCAGUUAAGAAGCUCGUAGUUGAAUUUCGAGAUCAGUACGCUGGUCGUGCCUUCGGUAUGCACUGGUGUCACUGGUUUCUCCCUUCUGAAGAACCGUCAUGCCAUUCAGUUGGUGUGGCGGGGAAUCAGGACUGUUACUUUGAAAAAAUUAGAGUGUUUAAAGCAGGCUCGCGCUUGAAUAAGACUGG